This 449-nucleotide ribosomal RNA is filed under the name uncultured bacterium. RNAcentral's name for it is "bacterial SSU rRNA". It matches the Rfam family "Bacterial small subunit ribosomal RNA", at positions 329 to 794 of the family's 1533-position model. The record is from RNAcentral.
GCCCAGACUCCUACGGGAGGCAGCAGUGGGGAAUAUUGCACAAUGGGGGAAACCCUGAUGCAGCGACGCCGCGUGAGUGAAGAAGUAUCUCGGUAUGUAAAGCCCUGUCAGCAGGGAAGAACAAAGACAGUACCUGACCAAGAAGCCCCGGCUAACUACGUGCCAGCAGCCGCGGUAAUACGUAGGGGGCAAGCGUUAUCCGGAUUCACUGGGCGUAAAGGGAGCGCAGGCGGCACGGCAAGUCUGGUGUGAAAGCCCGGGGCCCAACCCCGGGACUGCAUUGGAAACUGCCGGGCUGGAGUGCCGGAGGGGUAAGUGGAAUUCCUAGUGUAGCGGUGAAAUGCGUAGAUAUUAGGAGGAACACCAGUGGCGAAGGCGGCUUACUGGACGAUUACUGACGCUGAGGCUCGAAAGCGUGGGGAGCAAACAGGAUUAGAUACCCCAGUAAC